Non-coding RNA from Salmo salar (Atlantic salmon), 1585 nucleotides. The record is from RefSeq and is a predicted model, not a curated record. NCBI's taxonomy places the organism in Eukaryota, Metazoa, Chordata, Actinopteri, Salmoniformes, Salmonidae.
GACAAACUUAAAAAUAGCUUGGCUGUAUGACAUUUAUUUUCAUGAAUUCUGUCAUUUAAUUUCAAUUUUUUUUACCUCCACAAGACUACCUGAUGCAGGACCUACAAAAGUGACUUGGGCAGAGAGGCAGGCCUUGUGUGCACAAAAGUGGCAAUGUUGAUGAUGGACAGCAUGCUCUCUGCUGAAGGUAUUGUGAUGGGCCAGUGUCAGUAUUGCAACAGGGAGGACGGGGUUGUGUGGUGCUAUCCUGAUUGGAAUAAAUGGGUGCUACAACCUGUUCGUUCCUGCUCUGAACUGCUCCGGGUGUCUGAGACAUUGGACAGUGGGGCUGGAGAAACUUGUAAACAGUGGCUACUGGCCAGCCACCGUGACUCACCAGACCAUCUUCACAGUGGACCUCUUCAAGUCCUUUGAAAACAUGAAGGUGUUGGCCCCAGGAUGCUCCCAUCAAGCCUUUGUGGGAAUGCUUGAUGGAAGAACAAAGCACUUUGGCAGGGUAAGUGUGUAUAUACUAAUCAAAUGAUAAUUUUAAUGAAUUUGUCCCCAAUAUAGAAAUUGCCCCCUACUUAUACCUCUGUCUGUUUAGCAUGUUAUUCCAGAAGGCAUUCCUCGAGUGGAUGUACGGGCAGUUUGAAAUAGACACGUUUUGUGGAAGCGAUCUCCUCCAUUGUCCUGCCUGCUCACAGGAAAUGGAUGCCAAAUCAGUUGAUGGGAAUCGCAAGCAAUACCGCUUCCGGAAAGCCUCAGAGAUCAUUGUGGGCCUGUUGUAGAUGAACGUGGCUCCACUGGCUGUGUUCCAGACCCUGAAGGCCAUGUGUGCUAGCCAGAGGAUAGCUGACACCUCCAUGGGAGACUCCUCCACAGCCUCCUACCCCAACACCACCACCACAGCCUCCUCAGCCUCCAACAGAACCCAGAGUGCGUAGAAAAGCAGGCAGAGAGAAGAGCAGAGAGGGUUCCAGCCAGAGGGUGCCAUUCCAGCCCAGCGCCACCAGGGGGCAGAAAGCAGCAGUUCCUCACAGAUCACCCCAACUACCACUAACUAGACCCCACAGGACUAAGGACUGAGGGGCCACCUGACAAGUCUUAAGAUGCUUCCUCAACUCGUCUUCUUUCCUUCAUCUGCAUUGAUGGCUAAUUAAUCUCCUCUCCUCCUCAGUUGAAUAAAGGUGAAUGAAUAUAAGAGUGAAAUUAUGUACCUAGUUCGCCAUGUGGCUUUCACCUCUACUAUGCUUCCACAUCAGUGCAAAUGAGGAGAGGAGGUACCUUGUUUAAACCACAGUAUUGAGAUGCACCCUGAUUCAUAAUCCGUGUGACCACUAAUGCCUACCUCUUGGUCACCAGUGCUGAUUUUCGACCUGCCAAAAGGCUGGGAGAAUUGCUUGUUAGAACUGGUCCAGAGUCAGUUGGGAUAUGUUAAGAGUAUAAGGGUUGAGUUUAGGUUUUGGGUCACCAGAAACUGAUCCUAGAACAGUACCAUGCGCUCGUACUUUAGACAGGGUAUAAACCAGGGCUGUCAUCUGCACUAAUGUAUAAUAUUGAUAUGUAUUGAAAUAGUUGUUUUAUACCAUAAACACAGCAACAA